GUAUCUAUCCCAAUUGAGACAGCUAGAAACAGUUGACUGACUAAAUGGAAACUAGUCUAUUUGACAACGUCUUUCUGUGUUGGUGUCUACUGAAGUUAUAGUUUACCCUUCCUAAAAAUGAAAAGUUUGUUUCAUAUAGUGAGAGAACGAAAUCUCUAUCGGCCAGUCAGAUGUUUCUCAUCCUUCUUGCUCUGCCUUUGAGUUGUUCCAUGAUCACUUCUGAAUAAGCAGUUUGCCUUUAUAAAAACUUGCUGCCUGACUAAAGAUUAACAGGUUAUAGUUUAAAUUUGUAAUUAAUUCUACCG
This 305-nucleotide long non-coding RNA is filed under the name Homo sapiens (human). The record is from RNAcentral. Lineage: Eukaryota; Metazoa; Chordata; Mammalia; Primates; Hominidae.